Molecule: ribosomal RNA, 433 nt
Filed under: uncultured bacterium
Lineage: Bacteria
Description: bacterial SSU rRNA
Rfam family: Bacterial small subunit ribosomal RNA
Source: RNAcentral
GUUUGAUCCUGGCUCAGAGCGAACGUUAGCGGCAGGCUUAACACAUGCAAGUCGAGCGAGAAAGGGGCUUCGGCUCCGAGUAAAGCGGCGGACGGGUGCGUAACACGUGGAUAAUCUGCCUCGUGGCGGGGGACAACAGUCCGAAAGGACUGCUAAUACCGCAUGUCAGGUCGGAAACUCCGGUUUCUGACGAAAAAGAGGGCGUCCGCAAGGAGCUCUCACCACGAGAUGAGUCCGCGUCCCAUCAGCUAGUUGGCGGUGUAAUGGACCACCAAGGCUUAGACGGGUAGCUGGUCUGAGAGGAUGACCAGCCACACUGGGACUGAGACACGGCCCAGACUCCUACGGGAGGCAGCAGUGGGGAAUAUUGGACAAUGGGCGAAAGCCUGAUCCAGCCAUGCCGCGUGAGUGAUGAAGGCCUUCGGGUCGUACG